UAUGAUGACCAGCAGAAGAAGGCAGGUGAGAAGCCUCCACAGCCAUGGACAAAGAGUUAAGAGGACAGUGAAGAUUAUAUUUGAAAGCUUUUUCUACCAUAGAAUAUUCUAGAAUACAUUAUAAAAAGACAUUAUAAAUGGAACCAGCUCCAAACAUACAGGUCAUGUGUGUAUUUUACCUUCUCUUCAUAUAAGUAAAGUGCAAAUAAAAUACCAUGCAAACGCUGCCAGUGACACCCUUGGGUGCAAGGGAGUAAGGAUGGAAGAUGGACAAGAUGAAUUCAAGGGUCUCCCAAGGAAAGUGGAGGGCCGAUAAACAAAGCUGUGGGGGGAUAACCGGCAGACGGCUCACUGGACCUAACAGACGCCAUGCUCCACCCUGAGCGUGAGGAAGAGUGCAGGCAUGGAAAGUUGGAGCUGAGAAAGGGAAAGACCGCGUGGAGGAAAUGGGAGGAAACUGAAGCAAAGGAGACUUCUUCGAUAGUCUGAGAGUGCAGGGAGAGUCUCAGCCAGGAUUCUGUUGUCCUUUGUAUAAAGACAUCUUUCUCGCACCCCUAUCUAUUUGUGUUGUGAUCCACUGAAUUUAAAUACGACACUCUGUGGGGCCCCGGGUUUGGAGCCAUCCCCUGUAGCCCGGUGGGCGUGGCAUUGGGUGCAGAACUGAAGACGGUGAUUUCCUCCUCGCAUCAUCUAUCAAUGGCCAGUAGGUCAGAGGAAGAGAUAGUGCACCAUGAGCCCUUCCUCCAUUGGGACCUGUUGACAAGCCAGUCUGCUGCAGCAGAUGACGACACUGCGCCCACACAAGAAAUCAAGGAACAGGAACAAACCGAAGGAUCAUAUCACCAGUAAGGUGUUGGCUGAAACCAACAAGAAAAGUCCUGGAGAGGAAGUGCCGCACUGUCGAUGUGGGCAGGCGGAGGAGAAACGGAACCAUCCAGAGGUCAGCUAUUUUUAGAAAGAGUCUUUUUUAUUCUAAAAAUAUGACCAGCUAUUGGUAGCACAAUGGUUUCUCCUUCAGUGAAGUGAAAUGAUGAGGAGGAGGCUGGUGACAUCAGUCAUUCUGUUCAUGUGGACGUUCAGAGAGUAAAGGGGGAGAACUGAGCAACUUUUUUUUCCUUAGGUGUAAUAAAAAAAUCCAAGCCAUAUCAAUUGUGGUGAAAAACACGUGAGGUGUAUUGCUCAUUUUUCUCAUCACUGUAAUAAAAUACCCAAAGAAGCCCACUGAGGCAGAAAACUCACA
Long non-coding RNA from Peromyscus maniculatus bairdii (prairie deer mouse), 1240 nucleotides. RefSeq lists it as uncharacterized. Lineage: Eukaryota; Metazoa; Chordata; Mammalia; Rodentia; Cricetidae. The record is from RefSeq and is a predicted model, not a curated record.